Solanum pennellii is the source of this 2629-nucleotide long non-coding RNA. RefSeq lists it as uncharacterized. The transcript has 6 exons. Lineage: Eukaryota; Viridiplantae; Streptophyta; Magnoliopsida; Solanales; Solanaceae. The record is from RefSeq and is a predicted model, not a curated record.
CCCCCCAAUUUCUAAAAGGCAAAACUCAAAAGUGAGUAUGCCUAUUUUCAUACGAUUUCUAAAAGGAAAAAAUAAGAAGUCAUUUGCUGAUUUUUGCCCAUAUCAGAGAGCGAUCAUUUCGCCCAAAAGCAUUUGAAGGAUACCUCCGAAGACAUCACUACAAUGUUCUCCCUUGCCUCUGUACCUCUCUGGAAUCAGUUGUAGGUAUAUGUAGUCUGCACUAUGCAGAGUCCAAUAGCGGAAUGGCUAUAUCUAUGAUCAACUGGAAAACCUUAGCAAACAAAAACUCUUUCUGAUUAGGGGUGAUGAUCGCAAUGACGAUGGUCUUUUACCUAUACUAGGUAACAUAAAUCUGUGACCUAGAUAUACAGAUCCUGAUGGAUGAUAGUACUUGUUGAUAUCAGAUGAGGAGUUGAUGAUGCAGUGUUAAAUGAGUACUCUCAAGGCUUCAGGCCCUGUUGGACAGCAUUGCAACAAGCGUGUAUUCUCUGUGCAUUUGAAGCAUAACCCAACAAGGAUUGUUCAUGAGACCAUGGAGGAUAGAUACCAACACAUGAAUCGUGUCUGCUUUAUCUUCUUUGUGAGCGUUAUCGUCUCUUAAAGUUGUUUCCCUGCUACAGUUCAAGCUUCCCAAGUUUCAUUUGCUUCAUUUCCUGACAGCUAUGCCUGAGUUUGUCUUAUUUUUAUUCUUUAGAUUUUUCGUUUAUGUUUGCAACUGCGUGGCUAACUUCUCAAAUUGUCUUUCUUUCAUAAUGGUGAUAGCCUGUAAGGUGAUCAAUUCUCUCUUUGAGUUAUGGUCAGCGACCAUUUUGCCCACGUGGCGGAGGUCCUCCCCCACGAUGGGGACCUCAGGUUGGUCAUCUUGGGUACUUUCCAGGUUAUGAUAACAAUCAUUGAGGACAAUGAUUUUUCACAGCCCACGAUAUCUACCUCCUGCCUGAGGCAAUUAUUCUCCACACCAAGCACCAAGAGGCAAAUUUUUCCGGGUUGGGAUGUGUCCGAAAAAUGAUUUUUGAAAGGAGUUAGAUAUACAUUUAGGGCUCGCCCUGUCAACUGAAAAACCACAUCUUCAAAAUCAUUAACCCGUCAUAAACAAAUGUUUGUUAUAGUAGAAUUCGAGAAGUAUGCGUUAGUUUGUCCUAGAAGUUUACAUAAACUAUCCCUAGAGACGAGAUACAUGUUCAACUAUUAGAAGCAAAUGAAAUUUUGAGAGUACUAGAGCUAGUUAGUUAAACUUUAGUUCACAAGGAAUCGAUUUGCAUUCUCGAGAAUCUCCCCUCUGAAGUCAAAAACUCAAUUUCCCUAAACAAAGAUCAUCAUAUAAUUAGUAUACAAAAUUAAAACCAACAUAUCCUGGUGAAUACUGCAGGUACGCUCCAAAAAGUAGAAGAUCCAAUAGAAAACAUUGGUACUAAACUAUAUUGCUGAAAAUUAUGAACAUGUUGAUUUACUAGGUUGUUUUUUUUUUAACCAUCUAAGACUGUAAGCAGCUGGUGCAAACCCCUGUCUUGAUCACUAGACCAAAUCAGGUGUUUAUGAAUGUUUAUUUUUGUGUUGUUAGGCAAUGAGUUGUGUAUCAAUUUGUUAAUUUUUGGUAGAUGAGAUGUACAGAAAGAUUGUAAGCAUAUGAACUCUAAAAUAAGAUCGAGAAAUCGACCAAGUGUGUUUUUCAGGUGGAAGACUGUGAACUAGCAAAUGUGAUUGCAGCAGGCAGCAAGUACUAGGAACAAUUAUGGAGUAAGGAGUAUGAUUGUUGAAGCCCUGAACACGGUUGAAAGGAAAGGUGUUGUGACACUAGAAGAGGGGAAAAGUGUUGAAAACAAUCUCCGUGUGGUUGAAGGAAUGUAAUUUGACCGUGGUUAUCCGUUAUACCUCUCCUUACUUUGUUUCUGAUAGUGAGAAAUUGGUUGUUGAGUACGAGAACUGUAAGUUACUACUAGUUGAUAAAAAGACAAAAAUGCAAGAGAUCGUGUCAAUAUCCUGGAAGACGCUGUCGGAAAUGGUUAUCGAAUUUCAAGCCGACGAAUUGAGUUACAAGCUCUGGAAACACUUGUUGUCCUUAAGCUUAGAGGUGCCCUAAUGGUUGCUGAACAUAAAGCUCCUGGUUUUGGUGAGCGAAAAAGCUAGUAUCUUGAUGACGAAGCAACCCUUUCUAGCAGUAUCUCUUACUUCUUUAAAAGUGUUUUCAUAUUUCAUAUUCACAAGAAGGUUAAAUGCUGAGAUUUUCAAUAUGAAAGAGGCUGCAAGAGUGUUAUUGGCUCUUCAUUUGACACCUAUUAAGAUAACAACAGUACAUUUUAUCUGAACGCAUGGAAAAUGCAGGUGAUUCAAGUUGAAUGGUGGAUGGUAUAUAGAGAUGGUCACUGGGCAGAGUGGUGGUCGGGGGGGGGGGGUAGGUUGAAUGUAACCCGUAAAAUUUUUAACCUGCCCCCCUCUACUCCGUAUACAAUUUUUUUUUUCAUUUUCAAUCCAUCCUACUCCACCCCGCAUAUUCUUUUUAAAAAAUUCUUUUAAUUAAGUUUGAUACUAACUCAUGGAGAUAAAUUUAUCUUCUAUUAAUUUAAAAGAUCAAUUUUUCAAAGGCCAAUUAGGAAGCAUGUAAGAAACCGUAGUAGUUUUGGAUUGAGCA